RNAcentral lists this ribosomal RNA (254 nucleotides) under uncultured bacterium. Its description in RNAcentral is "partial 16S ribosomal RNA". It matches the Rfam family "Bacterial small subunit ribosomal RNA", at positions 524 to 776 of the family's 1533-position model. The record is from RNAcentral.
UACGUAGGCAGCGAGCGUUGUUCGGAGUUACUGGGCGUAAAGGGUGUGUAGGCGGUUGUUUAAGUUUGGUGUGAAAUCUCCCGGCUCAACUGGGAGGGUGCGCCGAAUACUGAAUGACUUGGAGUGCGGGAGAGGAAAGUGGAAUUCCUGGUGUAGCAGUGAAAUGCGUAGAUAUCAGGAGGAAUACCGAUGGCGAAGGCAGGUCUCUGGGCUAACACUGACGCUCAUGCACGAAAGCGUGGGGAGCAAACAGG